Molecule: ribosomal RNA, 429 nt
Filed under: Chloroflexota bacterium
Lineage: Bacteria; Bacillati; Chloroflexota
Also listed under: 1 other name
Description: Chloroflexi bacterium partial 16S ribosomal RNA
Rfam family: Bacterial small subunit ribosomal RNA
Source: RNAcentral
UAGGGAAUCUUCGGCAAUGGACGAAAGUCUGACCGAGCAACGCCGCGUGAGUGAAGAAGGUUUUCGGAUCGUAAAACUCUGUUGUUAGAGAAGAACAAGGACGUUAGUAACUGAACGUCCCCUGACGGUAUCUAACCAGAAAGCCACGGCUAACUACGUGCCAGCAGCCGCGGUAAUACGUAGGUGGCAAGCGUUGUCCGGAUUUAUUGGGCGUAAAGCGAGCGCAGGCGGUUUCUUAAGUCUGAUGUGAAAGCCCCCGGCUCAACCGGGGAGGGUCAUUGGAAACUGGGAGACUUGAGUGCAGAAGAGGAGAGUGGAAUUCCAUGUGUAGCGGUGAAAUGCGUAGAUAUAUGGAGGAACACCAGUGGCGAAGGCGACUCUCUGGUCUGUAACUGACGCUGAGGCUCGAAAGCGUGGGGAGCAAACAGG